UGUUUUGUGUCAGAUAACUUCAAUGUACCU
This 30-nucleotide non-coding RNA is filed under the name Mus musculus (house mouse). The record is from RNAcentral. Lineage: Eukaryota; Metazoa; Chordata; Mammalia; Rodentia; Muridae.